Triticum aestivum (bread wheat) is the source of this 115-nucleotide non-coding RNA. NCBI's taxonomy places the organism in Eukaryota, Viridiplantae, Streptophyta, Magnoliopsida, Poales, Poaceae. The record is from Rfam.
CUAUUACUCCCUCCGUUUCAUAUUACUUGUCACAGAAAUGGAUGUUUCUGGAACUAAAAUACAUCUAGAUACAUCCAUACCUGCGACAAGUAAUUCGGAACGGAGGGAGUAGAAU